GUAGAGCUGAGCUCCAUGUGACUGACUGUGUGUGUUUGCAUAUGUGUCCUGCCUCUCUGCUCCAGCUGUUAAGAGGUCAGAGUUGAUCAGUGGCUGUCCAGGCCUUUCAGAGCCACUGACACACCAGCAGCACAAUGAUGAUGUCACUGGCUCUACUGCUGACCAUCCUGGGGCUCCUGGUUCAGGGUUCCUCAGCAGUCAUCACCCUGACUCAGACUCCAGGAUCUCAGUCUGUUACUCCGGGACAGACUGUGUCCUUUAGCUGUAAAGCCAGUUCACCUGUUGAUGAUGAUUUGCACUGGUACCUUCAGAAAUCUGGAGCAGCUCCAAAGCUCCUUAUCUAUUCCGCUUCUUCACGUUGGACUGGAGUGUCUGAUCGUUUCACUGGAAGUGGAUAUGAUAUUGAUUUUACUCUGACCAUCAGCAGAGUUCAGGCUGAAGAUGCAGGAGUUUAUUACUGUCAACAUGAUGAGAACUUCCCGUUCACACAGUGAUACAACGUCGUACAAAAACCUCACGGCUGCAGAGAAACUGAUCCACAGCUGCACUGAAAAACAAGUUGUACAUGUAGGGAAUAAAAGAAAAGUUUAAUACAAAUCAAGGACCAGAUUAUUAGAAUUAGUUGGUGUUGGGAACUUCAGCUCUUUUCAUAAAACAAGCUCCAAAACGAAGCCAGGUUUUUUGGCUGCUUAUUUAUUUUCAACUGAAACCUGAUCUGCUAGCUCUACGUUUUGUGUGAUAAAUCCUUUUGCUUUCACUGUUCCUUUUAUGCCUUACGCUUGCUUAAUUUUAUGUUUGUUCUGUAACAAAAGCAAGCAUUUUUACUUUUCUAUGACAUUUUAAUCAAACUUUGCAUUUUUGAACAAAACAGUGCAAACAGGUUUAUCAAAUAAACCCAUAAUAGCUUGUAAGUGUUGGUUUUAGUAUUUUUAAAUGCAAAAGUAAGAAUUAAAAAAACAGUAGACUAGAUAGAUUUAUACUUUAGCACAUCUCUCAAGAUUUAAACACAACAAUUAAAGCAUAUUUUGCUUAAUAUUUGAAAC
Non-coding RNA from Xiphophorus couchianus (Monterrey platyfish), 1043 nucleotides. NCBI's taxonomy places the organism in Eukaryota, Metazoa, Chordata, Actinopteri, Cyprinodontiformes, Poeciliidae. The record is from the annotation of a RefSeq genome assembly.